CGGAGGGGGCGAGCGUUAUUCGGAAUUAUUGGGCGUAAAGGGCGCGUAGGCGGCCUGACAAGUCAAAGGUGAAAUCCCUCGGCUCAACUGAGGAACUGCCUUUGAAACUGUCUGGCUUGAGGCCGGGAGGGGGUAGCGGAAUUCCCAGUGUAGCGGUGAAAUGCGUAGAUAUUGGGAGGAACACCAGUGGCGAAGGCGGCUACCUGGACCGGUUCUGACGCUGAUGCGCGAAAGCGUGGGUAGCAAACAGGAUUAGAUACCCUGGUAGUCCACGCUGUAAACGAUGGGUGCUCGGUGUCGCGGGUAUCGACCCCUGCGGUGCCUUAGCCAACGCGUUAAGCACCCCGCCUGGGGAGUACGGUCGCAAGGCUG
RNAcentral lists this ribosomal RNA (372 nucleotides) under uncultured organism. Its description in RNAcentral is "bacterial SSU rRNA". It matches the Rfam family "Bacterial small subunit ribosomal RNA", at positions 526 to 896 of the family's 1533-position model. The record is from RNAcentral.